RNA transcript from Limulus polyphemus (Atlantic horseshoe crab), 5709 nucleotides. It is a transcript of the gene named E3 ubiquitin-protein ligase ZNRF1-like, with no coding region annotated. Lineage: Eukaryota; Metazoa; Arthropoda; Merostomata; Xiphosura; Limulidae. The record is from RefSeq and is a predicted model, not a curated record. The transcript is spliced from 6 exons.
UUAAGCAGUCAUACAUGAUACAUGCAUUACCACUGACAACGUUGUACAGUGGUGUACUGUGCAAACUGUAUAAUGUAUUGACUAGAGACUUGAUUAUAACACUGACUAUUACCAGUUUACCACUAUAGUCUUAGAUAGGCUAAAACAGACGUGUAGGUUGUAACUUGUCUUAAGUUACUUAACUAACUUGUGUGUUCAGGCCAUCAACUUCAAGCACUCAAGUAAUAAUUAUCGAAGCUUGAAUCUUUAUGUGAUAAGAUUUUGGUAAAGCAUUCCAAAAUAAAAAGUGAACUUUCUCCAAGGUUAUAUUAAUGGGGUCAAAACAAAGCUGCAGUAGUUCCCAAAGUUUGUCAGGAACUGGAGAUGGUCAACCAAUGGAAGUGAUUUCUGAUAGCCAACAGACUGGAUCAAAUAUUGGUGGAAGACAAAGAUUUUCAUCUGGCAUAAGGCAGCGUACUCGAAGCCUUACAAAUGUGGGCAGUGGACAACCUGAGCAAGUACUUGGAUUGUCAUCAGUUCAUGGAGCUGGACUAGGUGGCUCAAGAUCACCAGAUUCAGACUUUGGAUCACCUGAUGAGAUGCUAUCGUUCACUGGGAUGUUUUCUGCUCAUUCACUACCCAUACAGUUGCUCACUUUGAAUGGAAUCAAAUGUCCAGUAUGCUCCAAAAUAGUAGUGUCAGAUGAUGUUGAGUACCACCUGGUCAUGUGCCUCACAAAGCCAAGACUUAGUUAUAAUGAUGAUAUUCUGCAUGAAGACAAAGGAGAGUGUGUAAUUUGUCUGGAAGAUCUUGUACAAGGAGAUACUAUUGCACGUCUUCCUUGCCUUUGUAUAUACCACAAAAUCUGACACUAUAUUGACAUGUCAUUGCUAAUGAAUACUGCAACAAGAAGUGAGACUACACUUUGGUUGCUUGGUUCAGGAAAACUGAACUAACAGGAAGCAAAUUACCUUCAAAUAGAUGUAUUGACAACUGGUUCCAAGUCAACAGGUCUUGUCCUGAGCAUCCCAAUGACUGAUGUUUAUGAACACUAGGAGAUCUUUCAAAACUAGUUUGGACAAAGUUGUUACUUUUGAAGGUAAUGUUAAGAGUGUUUAUAAGGAAUAGACUUGGUGAUAUUGUUUGAUUUUUUUAAAUGACUGGCUAUUAUGUAAAAUCUUCAAUAUUACUUGUGGCAGUUUCUUCGUACUGCCAGCUUCUUGAUACUGAUCUCUUAUUCUUUAUCUUUGAAAACAAUGAACAAAAAAUACUGCUUUGGAUGCUGUGCCUUUUAUAAUACUGAAAAGUGUAAAAGCCACUUCAUUUCAAGCUCUUUUAGAAAAUGUUUUAAGGUUAGAGUUAUCUAUGGAGUUAAAUUUAACUAGUCUUGUAUGUCCUUUUAAGGUGCCAAAUAGGUAUUGUUUUCAAUCAUCUUGCUACUUGGACUAGAAUCAGUUUGAGAGUUUUUAUAGGCUACCUCAGGAUGAAAGGAAAAAACUGUUGUCCUUGUACAGCUUUUGCUUCAACAGGUUUUAUACUUUGUAGUCAUAUACUGCUGUUUGCUAUUUUUAUAAUUUAUUUUUAGUUUAGCAUUACAGUUUUGUAAUUAAAAGUAAUUAAAAAUUCAGCAGGAUGAUGAUGUAAUAAAAGUUGCAGAAUUUUCCUGUUAUUGUGUAUGUAGGAAUGAUUUUAAAAGAAUCUUAAUACGUAUUCACUCAUGAACUAUUUUGAUAACAUAUAACCAACAUUACCUUUAGUGUACAGUAGUAGAAAUUAUAACUUAAUACUAAAUAUUAAUUCUGAUUUUUAACUCUGAGUUGUGGUGAGAAUAAGAAUAAACAAAACUGUUUUUGUAUAGAUUAAUGCUUGUUUUAUAUGUGGUAGUUUUUUUGUAAAAGAAAAAAUAAUAAGUAUUUUUUAACAAACAUUUUUGCUUUGGAUAGUUGUGCAAGAAUAUAACUGUUAACUUGGUCUAAAGUUGCUUUAAGUAAACAUAUAUAACUUAAGCUUUUUACAUUAAUUUAUGUAAAGGAUUUAACAAUAAUUUAAAAUUGUCUCAUUUUGAGUUUACUUAAUGAUUAAGUUACAGUAAGGAAGAUUUAUUUUUAGAAAAUGAUUGUACCAGUGAUCAAAACACCAUACCUGUUCUAAAAACAGAUUUUCCUUACUGUAAAAGCUGUAACUUGUAAUAAAAUAAUAAUUUAAAAUGUUCACUUUCACUAUUAAUUUAGUUUUAAGACAGUGUUAUAAUAAAAUCCCUCCAAGUAUAUCUGUAUAAACCAAUGGGUAAUAAUGAUAGAACAGAGUCAGUUAGGUCUAAUUUGUAGUAAUUGUUUUCAGUCCAAAAUAUAUUGUCACAAGAGAGAGUAAAUUCAACAAAUUAUUUAAAAAAGACAAACUGUGGAUGAUGGAUUGCUGCCAUUGUUGAAAAGUAUGUUAUAUUAAUAUAUAACAUUUGCUACUUAAUAAUUUUUAAUCAAAUUAUAUUUAUAAAUUAUAACAUAUAUUUUUAAAUAGUUACUUGAAAUUUCUACAAAAUCUAAUAGCUGCUAAGGACUUUCACAUAAAAAAAAAACAUCUUAGAAGAAUUACAAAGUUUAAAACCUAUUUGUUUAUCAGCUGUGUGACUGUACAGUAAGACUUAUGUAUGCUAUGUAUAAGAGAAGAAGGUUUUGUUAUUUGUGUUAGUUGUGUUUAAAGGCUCAUUUGAUAGCCAGGAAUUCAGAGAUAAUCCUAAAAUUUCUAAGUUUAAUCAGGUGGCAUGCAAGCAUUGUCAGUUAUUUUUUCUGUUGUUGACAAAACUGUUUAACAGUGCGUGAUUAGUGAUCACUCAUGGGAAAAUUUGAUCCUUUUGAUUUGUAUAUUGAUAAUUUUUUUUUAUAUAAAAAAAAAACACUACCAAAGUAGCAGCUCGUACCAUACAUUAGAGCAGACUAUUUUGUUGAAGUACAGGGGGUCUGUGUUUAGUGGCUGUAUUGCUUCAGUAAAAUAUACUGAAUACCUAGUGUACAAGACAUAAGGGAAGUGUAAUGUUAAAAUAAAGUAUGAAACACAAAAUAUAUUUUAAUACUCAUAAUUUUAAUGUUGAAAAAAGGAGUACUAGUGUAACUCUACACUUCCCUCUUCCCAAGACAUAUAUUUAAUCAAUAAAUAAUGUUAUUUAAAACAGUAUGUGAAUAAUAAUAGUAACACUCUCUUUUGUAAUGUUGUGCUAUAGUUGAAGCUCCAUAUUUAUUUUCUAAUCUAACUGUUAGUGUUACUCAGUUCUGUUUUGCUGUUCAUUUGUUAUUAUGUUUAUUAGGUCUGUUUAAUUAAUGAAUAUUUUUGUGUUUAAAAGACUAUGACUGUUUACCUCCUUGGAAUGGUUACUGUUAAAUAAAGUUUGCUUAGAAAAUCUGUAGUUCUUAUAACUGGACACAAAGAAGUAUUUUAGCAAUGCAAGAUUACUGGAUGUAGCUAUAUGACUAUUGCACGUAGUGUAAAAUAUGUGUACAUUGACAACGUGCAUUUUUUAUGUAAGAUAUAGAAACUUGAUUACUGUUCUAUAUAAUGUAUUUUUAAACUGCUUGUGACAAUUUUAUUUCAUUUCAUUUAUAUAAAUUACAUGUAAAAUAAAAGGUUUUCACAACUAGUAGUUGUGGUCCCAUCAUCAGUAUAUUAUGAAAAUUAGUACUAUUGAAGGUUCAGACUUUCAUACGAUAAUGUGUUCCAAACUUUCGAAGGUCAAAAUCUACACUUUGUUACAGCUCUAGUGUUGGGAUAAAAUUUUAACCCUACUUGUACAUUGUAUCAUGUGCUCGCUUAAAAACUCAUAUUAUUAUAGUGGAAUUUGAGAUGUAUUAUAUUCCCUUUUCUUUCUUUUUUUGCUGUUUUCAAGGCUGCUUUUGUUUUGUGAAAAUAUUUAGUGAAUUAAUUGAGCAGUAGUUUUAUGGUUCUUGCUUUAAUAAGAGGAAAGUGUGGAAAGUUCAUAGUUGUGAUAAGGUUAAGUAGUGGAUGUUGAAAUUUGAAGUCGCAUUUUGGGUAGUGAGCUUUGUUUUAUGAAUGCGCCUUUAUUUCUGAAAAACUGCUUUGUUGAUGAAAAAUAACUGAAAAAACUCCAGAAACGAUUAGGUCCCAUUUUGAGUAAAUUGUGGAGUGAGUGAGUACUGUGGAACUAAGGGAACUUCAAUUAAGCUGCAAUUAAUGGUUUACACCAUACAAAUCUUGACUAUCUUUAUCCUGAUUCCAUUGUUCUAAUUUGCUUAAGGGGCAAUAAAUAAUACACACACACAAUGGAAUAUACUGAAAUUAUUAAUGCAUGUUAUAUAAAGGUUUUGUUAAAUAUAGUAUACUCAGAACAUAAUUUUAAGAUGGUAAGCAUAAUAAUCUUACAACAGGAUGUUGCCUAGCGUAAGGUGCUAAAUAGUGAGUGAUUAAAAAUGAUCUUGUUGGUUUUGAAACAAUUGUAUUAUACCCAUUUCAUUAGUUGUGUUUUUUAUAGAUUUUUAAGCUCAUUCUAAUCUAUGAAUAAACUUAUGAAAACAUGAAAUUAUGUACAUUGAUCAGGUAAAUGCUGAUACUAUUAACAUAGACCAUAGCUCUAAGUAAAAAAUAGUAAGUUUUCAAUAUUGGCCUUUGUAAUUACCAUUGACCUUUUGAGUGAUAAAAAUAGUUUUCAUCCAUAUAGUUGUCAUUUUGUUGAGUAAGUAAUUUGUGGAAUUUCAUGGACUGAGUUGGUGUUUAAAGUUUUACAAAUGAAUACAAAGAUAGGGGAAAAUAAGUUUUUGAAGUACAGUUUGAGGUGAUGCCUUUACUGGCAUUUGGAAGCAUUCUAUUUUUCAAUUAGAAAGUUGAAUAAGUGGUCAUGCUGGGUUCCUAACACCAGUAGUUUUUUGUAUCACUUUAUUUUUCAUGCAGAAAAAUAUUGGAUGUUUUAGGAUUUACAUUAAUCUGAAUAGACCUUAUGUUUUUAUUUAGUUAGAGCUUUGGAAAUGAUAGUAAAAUAGAGAAGAGCAAAAGCAAACAUUAGUUGUUCAUUUAACUGGUCAGGUUGUGUGGUAAAAUUGAAUUAAGCUGUUGUAAAACAGUUAAAAGCACACUCAAACACUAUAAUAUUGGAUAGCUUUGGUGUUUCACCAUUAAACUUAGUGGAAUUACGAAAUGCCUGCUGCUGUAUUCAAUACAUAUGUAAACUUUUUUAACAGAAUGCUGAAAAUUGUUACUAUAAAAAAUGCAUAUAAUUUACUUUCAUGUAAAAAAUUCCAGUUCAUAUUUUAUUAUAAUUUUUUUUUCUGUGAUAUACUUUAUUGUUGUAUGACUGUAUCAAAACUAUAUUGUUGAUGUUGCCAACUGUGUUGUUUUAGCCAGUGUAACUUUAGGCUGUCUUUAAUAUCACAUUUUAACAUUAACUGUGUACAAGAUAUUGUAUAGUUUGUUGUAGUGGUCUAAAAUGCCUAAACUGGCAAGCAGUGAGGUUUUUUAGGUCUAAUAAAAUUGGUUAAAAUCAUGCUUACUUAUUCAAAAUUCAUAAAGGCCUAAUUAUGAGGUAAAAAAAAAAAUGUCACGUGUGAUUUUAGUUUUCACUUGUUUUCUUAAUUUGAUUAUUACUCGUAUUCUUGGGUAAUUGGGGUUAUGGUAUAUUUGAUUGUGGACAAAUGACAUUUGAUCAAAAUUUUUUAGUACUGUAUGAAUAGAUAUGAUAUAAAAGUGUCAAAUCAUCACUCAAUAAAAAGAAAAAUGUUAGUUGUUUUA